AUGGAUGGAUGCUUGCAGGUGGUGGAGCUGAAGGUCGGGAUGCACUGCGACAGGUGCAUCAAGUCGAUCAAGAAGGCGAUCAAGACGAUCGAUGACAUGGAGAGCUACCAGCUCGAGAAGGAGACGAACAAGGUGACCGUGACGGGGAACAUCACCGCGGAGGAAGUGGUGAAGGCUCUGCAGAAGAUCGGGAAGACGGUAACUUACUGGGGUGAGUGA
Molecule: ribosomal RNA, 219 nt
Filed under: Triticum aestivum (bread wheat)
Lineage: Eukaryota; Viridiplantae; Streptophyta; Magnoliopsida; Poales; Poaceae
Description: partial small subunit ribosomal RNA
Source: RNAcentral